UACGUAGGGUGCAAGCGUUGUUCGGGCUCAUUGGGCGUAAAGCGCGUGUAGGCGGUUGGUUAAAUCUGGGGUGAAAGCCCGGGGCUUAACUCCGGAAGUGCACUGGAUACUGAAUAACUAGAGGGCGGGAGAGGGAAGCGGAAUUCCUGGUGUAGGGGUGAAAUCCGUAGAUAUCAGGAGGAACGUCGGAGGCGCAGGCGGCUUCCUGGCCCGUUACAGACGCUGAGACGCGAAAGCGUGGGGAGCAAACAGG
This 253-nucleotide ribosomal RNA is filed under the name uncultured bacterium. Its description in RNAcentral is "partial 16S ribosomal RNA". It matches the Rfam family "Bacterial small subunit ribosomal RNA", at positions 524 to 776 of the family's 1533-position model. The record is from RNAcentral.